UGAGUUGGCAGAAGCUGAUAAUGAUGAAGCCCUCUUGAUAGAAGAAGGCAAGCAACAGAGCACAGAU
This 67-nucleotide small nuclear RNA is filed under the name Chattonella subsalsa. RNAcentral describes it as "partial Dictyostelium signal recognition particle". Lineage: Eukaryota; Raphidophyceae; Chattonellales; Chattonellaceae. The record is from RNAcentral.